GUCAGUGUAGCUCAGCAGGUUAGAGCACAGCAUUCAUAAUGCUGGGGUCGGUGGUUCAAGUCCACCCGUAGCUACCA
This 77-nucleotide transfer RNA is filed under the name Gammaproteobacteria bacterium. Its description in RNAcentral is "tRNA-Met". It matches the Rfam family "tRNA". From Rfam's summary of the family: Transfer RNA (tRNA) molecules are approximately 80 nucleotides in length. The record is from RNAcentral. Lineage: Bacteria; Pseudomonadati; Pseudomonadota; Gammaproteobacteria.